RNAcentral lists this ribosomal RNA (460 nucleotides) under uncultured bacterium. RNAcentral describes it as "partial 16S ribosomal RNA". It matches the Rfam family "Bacterial small subunit ribosomal RNA", at positions 338 to 795 of the family's 1533-position model. The record is from RNAcentral.
CCUACGGGUGGCAGCAGUGAGGAAUAUUGGUCAAUGGACGAGAGCCUGAACCAGCCAAGUAGCGUGAAGGAUGACUGCCCUAUGGGUUGUAAACUUCUUUUAUAUGGGAAUAAAAUGUUCCACGUGUGGCUUUUUGUAUGUACCUUAUGAAUAAGGAUCGGCUAACUCCGUGCCAGCAGCCGCGGUAAUACGGAGGAUCCGAGCGUUAUCCGGAUUUAUUGGGUUUAAAGGGAGCGUAGGUGGAUUGUUAAGUCAGUUGUGAAAGUUUGCGGCUCAAACGUAAAAUUGCAGUUGAAACUGGCAGUCUUGAGUACAGUAGAGGUGUGCGGAAUGCGUGGUGUAGCGGUGAAAUGCUUAGAUAUCACGAAGAACUCCGAUUGCGAAGGCAGCUUACUGGACUGCAACUGACACUGAGGCUCGAAAGUGUGGGUAUCAAACAGGAUUAGAUACCCUAGUAGUC